GGUUCCAUAAUAUAGUGGUUAGCAUGUCUGCUUUACAUGCAGAAGGUUCUGGGUUUACACCCCAGUGGAGCCA
Molecule: transfer RNA, 73 nt
Filed under: Pteropus alecto (black flying fox)
Lineage: Eukaryota; Metazoa; Chordata; Mammalia; Chiroptera; Pteropodidae
Rfam family: tRNA
About the family: Transfer RNA (tRNA) molecules are approximately 80 nucleotides in length. Their secondary structure includes four short double-helical elements and three loops (D, anti-codon, and T loops).
Source: Rfam by way of RNAcentral